AUAGAGCUGUACAACGCUCCCGAGGGCCGCUACAAGCAGGACGUGUACUUGCUGCCUAAAAAAAUGGACGAGUACGUGGCCAGCCUGCACCUGCCCACGUUCGACGCGCACCUGACGGAGCUGACGGACGAGCAGGCCAAGUACCUGGGGCUCAACAAGAACGGACCUUUCAAACCCAACUACUACAGAUACUGAGUUCCUGCCGCCGCAUCCCGGAGAAUCGCCAGGAGCUGCGACAAGCACCCGAGUCUUUCUCAACUACUGUACAGGAUGAAACCGCGCAAGCUUCCCACGCUAGAGCCGGGCUUGCUGCCAUAGUCGACAGUGUGUUUUAGGUUAUUUAUUUAUUAAAUUAGGAUACUGUUCACGUGGCCUCUGCCACUGGUGUUCGUCCUGCCGCGGGACUGGGAGACGCUGGAUUUUCUUUCCGUUCCUUUCAUUUUCCUCUUUGGGUUCGUUCUUUUUUCGGGGCUGGGAGGAGGGGGAAGGCGAGGAGGAAGCUGCUGGAAUCGAGCCGUGGAAUAGUCCCUUGUCCCUGCUCACCCCCGCGCACGGCGGGACCCGGCCUGGCAGCCAGGGAAUCCCCGGCCGUUCGACAACAGAGCCAAACUCCUCGUGGGCUCCGGAGCUGCCUCGGGAGCAGAGAAGCCUCUCCGCCUCUCCGUGUGCCCUGGAAGUGCCCGGGGCCGUGCCCGGCCGGGGAACCUCGCCUUAGCACUGCCCGGAGCCGUGCCCAAGGGUCAGCGCCGGCCCGGGGAGAUCCCCGAGCGCUCCCCUGGCCGCAGCCCCGCGGCGUUUUCCUGCUGCUGUCGUUCCGAGUGCCAACCUCUCUGGAUCAACCAAAGUCGUGUUCCCGGCGGGGCCGGGGCAGCCCCGCGCUGCUGGAAGGGGCUCCUCGCCCACCGAUGCUGCUCACGCGCCGGCGGCUCCGCCACGCCGAGCGGAGCUCGCCCGGCCGCCCGGCUGGGAGGACCCAGGUCCUUCUCCAGCUGAAUUUCGGAGUUUUGUUUUCUGCUCACAUUUGUACGAAUCUGGAAUUCCCCUUUGGAAUGUAUGAGACGCCCGCCGGAGCGACCCCCGCGGAUUCUGUGCGAGGGGAGAGUUCAGCAUCGCUGAAACCCUUUGGUCACCUCGACGUGUCAGAGCCGAUGGAGACUAAAUUUGCCAGAGUUCCCUGUUUUAUCCCAGGAUGUCCCAGCUGAGCACAGGACAGCGUGACCCGUAGCAAGGUGACUCCCCAAGUGCCGGUGUCUGCGUGGAGUCACUCCUGUCCCUCGUGGAGAACGUGAUCCUGCUGAAAUAAAACUGCCCAGCCCCCUGAGCACAGAAGCCUCUGUCCUCCCUGUUGGCUCCGGAGUCUCUCCUCGGCUGCAGAUCCGUGUUUUGUCCUCCUGGGCUUCUUUGCUGUCAUGGAGAACUUUUUUGUGGCAGCUCGUUCACGCACAAGGAAGGGAAAACGGAGGAAUUGCAUCCUCACGUCCUUCCCACGGCUCUUAGGAGAUUUGGAGUCAGGUUGGCCACAAGUCGCUCCUCUCCAGAGCAAAUGCUCCCAUGUGCCGGCUUAUUCCAAGCUUCUCUUUGAAAUCUCUCAAAAUCAGGAAGGAAAACCUUGAGAAGAGCUUGAGGAAACCUUGAAGAGGGCCUUGGGAAGGCGUCAGGGCUUUGCCAAGGCCUUGUGGAGACCUUCAGGCUUCGAGAAGCUUCCGGGAGACUGAUUGCUAACCACAGACUCGCUCUCUGCUCGUUCAUUUUUCCCCGAUCCCGAGAUGUUCUGGGAAGAAUCCCCUGAGCUCUUUGAAACAUCACACCCAAGGCUUUCUCCCCAAGCUGGAUCCUGGUCUGUCAGCCCCUGCUGUUUUCUGGGAGCUGCUCCUGGCCCAGGGGAGAUGCAGCUGUGGGAAGAACGGGAAUCCCAUCCCAACCCAAGCACAGCCACUUCCCCCUGGAAAAGCCCCUUUCAUCCUGACCCCUCUCAUCCCCAGAGCUGCCUCCCGCCCUGUGCCUGCUCUGCACAGCCCCAGAUCCCUCCGUGCCCCGUUCUAACCUCCUUUUAUCUUCCAGGUAGAUAGGAAGGGAAAAAAAAUAUAUAUAUUAAUACUAAAAUCCCAACUGGCUUUUCCCACCUCGAUUUUUAAAGCUCUUCUCCAUGUUCUGCUUCUCCUGUAAAAGCUUAUUGGCUCGCUUGGCUUUUUUCCUAAUCAACCUGGAAUCAUAUCCUAUGAUCAUCUCUAAAUUAAACGUGUAAUGGGGUUUGGUUUCUUUUUUUUUUAAAUGUAACACAUUUUUCAAGACUUAGGAAAAAAGGAGAUUUUAGGUAACACCAGCAAAAUCGCAUAAAGGAAAUUAAUUCUGUUCUGAACUUUAGAGAUAAUAAGACAAAAGUCGUCCUCAGCAGUGAGGAAACGAAAACGUCGCAACCGUAACAUUUCAGAAGGAUGUUUUAAAUAUUAAUGUCUGAGUGAUUGUAUUAGAUCAGCAAUAAAGACUCUGUAAUCUCAAAACACAAAUAAAACAUUGGAAAACUCA
Molecule: non-coding RNA, 2526 nt
Organism: Lonchura striata (white-rumped munia)
Lineage: Eukaryota; Metazoa; Chordata; Aves; Passeriformes; Estrildidae
Source: RefSeq, a predicted model, not a curated record